GCCUAAAGAAAUGCCAGGCCUGGGGUUAUUGGUCUCCAGCAUGAAUCAAGUGGAAUUUCCCAGAAAACUUCGUUAACUCGGCGUUUCUUCAAGGGCAGGGAAGCCUUCUCCUUUCGUAGGUAUUGUGAGAGGUUGUCUUCAGAAUUAAGGCAGACUUUUAUUCAGUGUAUUGUAGCACAUAAUGAUGGACCAUCGCUGAGCUCUGCAGGUCUGAGAGAGGAAACUUUACUCAACUGCCGGCAGAAAAUUUAGGAUUCUUUCCGAUGAAGUUAUGAGGCUUGAUCUAUUAAAAAAAAAACCAAAAACAAGAAAGCAUCCUUCAGUGAUGGUGCCCAGAACGUCAUUUAUCAUCAUCCUUUCAUUGGUUACUGUAAACAUAUGUUAAAACUGUGAGCUGGGAAGUUCAUCAACUUUGAUCAAUGGCAGCUUGAUUGACUGUGCAGUUAAGGGACUUGAAGAGGGGAAAAAAAACGUCAGAUUAUAAAAUUUCUGGAUUCCUCAGGCAUAAAUUCUCAUGAAAUUGAAUGCAAGAAACUGUCUGGUCAUGCUGGAGGACUGAAGGUAACUUCAACAAUUUGUUUCUCGAAUUCACCCCACCUUCCUUCUGCUGAGGAAAACAGUGACCUGCCUUCCAAAGAGUGUCAAAAUAAAGAGCUGGGAAACUUUCCCAAGGACGUUGUGUUCUCCCAGGUGACGGUGUCUGAGCUAAGCAGUUGCAGGGAUUUACUGAGUUUUUUUCUGGCACCAGGUGGCCUUUUCUUCUCCUGAGCUCUGCAGGUCCUUCCCAGUCGUCCUCUUGUCAUCAGAACAAGGGCUGGGCAGCAGAGUAAUUCUGUGCCUCCAUUGCACACCAGUGGGUGCCUAUGGAAUCGUGAAAAUUAAAAGCAGAUGAUCGUAUGGAAUGUUGAAGAAA
This is a long non-coding RNA of Calidris pugnax (ruff), 913 nucleotides long. RefSeq lists it as uncharacterized. NCBI's taxonomy places the organism in Eukaryota, Metazoa, Chordata, Aves, Charadriiformes, Scolopacidae. The transcript is spliced from 9 exons. The record is from RefSeq and is a predicted model, not a curated record.